GGAGGGCAAGUCUGGUGCCAGCAGCCGCGGUAAUUCCAGCUCCAAUAGCGUAUAUUAAAGUUGUUGCAGUUAAAAAGCUCGUAGUUGAAACUCUGGCUGUUCGAUCCUCGAGCUCUGUAGCCGAGGACUCGACAGUCAUCCGCUUGCAAAUAUGUGUUCGUCUUUAAUCGGAUGACCAUAUGAGCAAGCAAUUUACCUUGAGAAAAACAGAGUGUUCCAGGCAGGUUUGUCCGGAAUGCAUUAGCAUGGAAUAAUAGAAUAUGACUGAAGUCGAUUUAUUGGUUUGAGGCUUUAGUAAUGAUUAAUAGGAACAGUCGGGGGCAUUGGUACUUGACAGUCAGAGGUGAAAUUCUAGGAUUUGUCAAAGACUAACAAAUGCGAAAGCAUUUGCCAAGGAUGUUUUCAUUAAUCAAGAACGAAAGUUAGGGGAUCAAAGACGAUCAGAUACCGUCCUAGUCUUAACUAUAAACUAUACCGACUCGGAUUCGGAUGAAUCGGUUUUGCACCACCAUGGAGUGGAGUCUGCGGCUUAAUUUGACUCAACACUGGGAAACUCAUCAGGGCAAGAAGAUUUUAGGAUUGACAGAUUGAGAGUUCUUUCUUGAUUGGUCUAGUGGUGGUGCAUGGCCGUUCUUAGUUGGUGGAGUGAUUUGUCUGGUUAAUUCCGUUAACGAACGAGACCUUAACCUGCUAACUAGUACUUCGAUGACAAAUCGAUGUUACUUCUUAGAGGGACUAUGUGAUGUAAUCACAUGGAAGUUUGAGGCAAUAACAGGUCUGUGAUGCCCUUAGAUGUCCUGAGCUGCACGCGUACUACAAUGGUGCUUUCAACGAGCUUUUCCUGAUCCGAAAGGAUUUGGGUAAUCUUUUUAGUGAGCACCGUGCUUGGGAUUGAUCUUUGUAAUUAUGGAUCAUGAACUAGGAAUUCCUAGUAAGCGCAUGUCAUCAUCAUGUGCUGAUUACGUCCCUGCAAAAUGUACACACCGCCCGUCGCUAUUACCGAUUGAGUGUAAAGGUGAACCUUCUCGAUAGACUCACGUUUAGAAAUUAAGUAAACCUUUGCACUUAGAGGAAAUAAAAGUCGUA
RNAcentral lists this ribosomal RNA (1086 nucleotides) under uncultured soil eukaryote. RNAcentral describes it as "SSU rRNA". It matches the Rfam family "Eukaryotic small subunit ribosomal RNA", at positions 550 to 1793 of the family's 1831-position model. The record is from RNAcentral.